This 208-nucleotide long non-coding RNA is filed under the name Amborella trichopoda. RNAcentral describes it as "long non-coding RNA (ATRI_LNC003504)". The record is from RNAcentral. Lineage: Eukaryota; Viridiplantae; Streptophyta; Magnoliopsida; Amborellales; Amborellaceae.
AAUAGGUGCGGUUUGUAUAGACUUGAGGCUCUAAACAAUCGUAUUUGAGCCCACCUUCAAAUAGUGUCGAGAAAUAUGGUUUCAAUACUGAAAAGUUUUGUGAUAGCUUUAAAUUAUAUUUUCAUCUUUAGUUAUAAAAUUUAAAGCUUCUAAAAUAGUAUAGAUCUAUCAGAUUGAUGUCGAGAUGAUUAAUUUGGUGAUAUUUAGG